AACGAACGCUGGCGGCAGGCCUAACACAUGCAAGUCGAACGGUAAUCUUGAUAGCAAUAUUGAGACAAGAGUGGCGUAAGGGUGCGUAACACGUAUGCAAUCUACCCGCAACAGGAGGAUAGCUCCCCGAAAGGGGAAUUAACCCUUCAUGAGAUCACGGUCAGGCAUCUGAGAGUGAUUAAAUCUGAGGAGGUUGUGGAUGAGCAUGCGUCNGAUUAGCUAGUUGGC
This 228-nucleotide ribosomal RNA is filed under the name uncultured bacterium. Its description in RNAcentral is "partial 16S ribosomal RNA". It matches the Rfam family "Bacterial small subunit ribosomal RNA", at positions 29 to 253 of the family's 1533-position model. The record is from RNAcentral.